CCUACGGGUGGCAGCAGUCGAGAAUCAUUCACAAUGGGGGAAACCCUGAUGGUGCGACGCCGCGUGGGGGAAUGAAGGUCUUCGGAUUGUAAACCUCUGUCAUGUGGGAGCAAAUUAACAAGAUAGUACCACAAGAGGAAGAGACGGCUAACUCUGUGCAAAAAGCCGCGGUAAUACAGCGGGCUCAAGCGUUGUUCGGAAUCACUGGGCGUAAAGCGUUCGUAGGCUGUUUCGUAAAUCGUGUGGGAAAGGCGCGGGGUCAACCCGCGGACGGCACAUGAUAAUGCGCGUCUAGAGUAAUGGAGGAGUAACCGGAAUGCUCGGUGUAGCAGUGAAAUGCAUAGAUAUCGAGAGGAACACUCGUGGCGAAGGCAGGUUCCUGGACAUUAACUGACGCUGAGGCACGAAGGCCAGGGGAGCGAAAGGGAUUAGAUACCCUGGUAGUC
Molecule: ribosomal RNA, 446 nt
Filed under: uncultured bacterium
Lineage: Bacteria
Description: partial 16S ribosomal RNA
Rfam family: Bacterial small subunit ribosomal RNA
Source: RNAcentral